GGGGUCACUUGGGGUCCCAUUUUGGGGUCCCAUUUUGGGGUCCCAUUUUGGGGUCCCAUUUUGGGGUCCCUGGGGUUUGGGGUCCCUGGGGUUUGGGGUCCCUGGGGUUUGGGGUCCCUGGGGUUUGGGGUCCCGUUUUGGGGUCCCGUUUUGGGGUCCCAUUUUGGGGUCCCUGGGGUUUGGGGUCCCAUUUUGGGGUCAUAUUUUAUGGUCCCAUUUGGGGUCAUUCUGGGGUCCCUGGGGUUUGGGGUCCCAAUUUUGGGGUCCCAAUUUGGAGUCAUUUUGGGGUCCCUUUUUGGGGUCUCUCGGGGUCAUAUUUUGGGGUCACUCGUGGUCCCAUUUUGGGGUCCCUGGGGUUUGGGGUCCCAAUUUUGGGGUCCCAAUUUGGAGUCAUUUUGGGGUCCCUCUUUGGGGUCACUCGGGGUCCCAUUUUGGGGUCACUCGGGGUCCCAUUUUGGGGUCGUUUUGGGGUGACGUUUUGGGGUGUCCCCGCAGCCGGCCCCGUCAUCAUGUCGCUGGAGGAGAAGAUGGAGGCCGACGCGCGCUCCAUCUACGUCGGCAA
RNAcentral lists this long non-coding RNA (562 nucleotides) under Numida meleagris (helmeted guineafowl). Its description in RNAcentral is "lncRNA (ENSNMEG00000003908.1)". The record is from RNAcentral. Lineage: Eukaryota; Metazoa; Chordata; Aves; Galliformes; Numididae.